RNAcentral lists this small RNA (136 nucleotides) under Klebsiella aerogenes. RNAcentral describes it as "RtT sRNA". It matches the Rfam family "RtT RNA". Rfam says of the family: This family represents a bacterial cis-regulatory element known as RtT RNA. The exact function of RtT is unknown although it is thought that it may be involved in changing the cellular response in relation to amino acid starvation. Lineage: Bacteria; Pseudomonadati; Pseudomonadota; Gammaproteobacteria; Enterobacterales; Enterobacteriaceae. The record is from RNAcentral. RNAcentral also lists the same sequence under 1 other name.
CGCCUUUUUGCUAUGCGCAGAACUUUAAGAUUCGAACCUGCAGCAGGUUCGGGUCGAACGCAGUGAGACAACGGCGCCGCUUGCGGCGACGGCCCGAAGGGCGAGGCGAAGCCGAGUCAUCCUGCACGACCCACCA